GACGAACGCUGGCGGCGUGCUUAACACAUGCAAGUCGAACGAGGUCCACUGCGUAGCAAUACAAGGGAAGACCUAGUGGCGAACGGGUGCGUAACACGUGAGGAACUUGUCCCGGUCUCUGGGAUAACAGUUGGAAACGACUGCUAAUACCGGAUGACGUCGGAAUCUCGCAUGGGAUACUGACGAAAGGGUUACUGGAUCGGGAGAGCCUCGCGGCCUAUCAGCUUGUUGGUGAGGUAACGGCUCACCAAGGCAUCGACGGGUAGCUGGUCUGAGAGGAUGAUCAGCCACACUGGGACUGAGACACGGCCCAGACUCCUACGGGAGGCAGCAGUGGGAAUCUUGCGCAAUGGCGAAAGCCUGACGCAGCAACGCCGCGUGCGGGAAGAAGGCCCUCGGGUUGUAAACCGCUUUCAGUAGGAACGAAAUGACGGUACCUGCAGAAGAAGGUGCGGCCAACGUACGUGCCAGCAGCCGCGGUAA
RNAcentral lists this ribosomal RNA (483 nucleotides) under uncultured bacterium. RNAcentral's name for it is "bacterial SSU rRNA". It matches the Rfam family "Bacterial small subunit ribosomal RNA", at positions 28 to 523 of the family's 1533-position model. The record is from RNAcentral.